Molecule: long non-coding RNA, 762 nt
Organism: Parus major (Great Tit)
Lineage: Eukaryota; Metazoa; Chordata; Aves; Passeriformes; Paridae
Exons: 2
Source: RefSeq, a predicted model, not a curated record
GAGAGCUCCUGUGGGGUGGUGGAACAGGAGGGACAGCAUUGCUCUGGAGAUGCCCCAGAGAUUAGAGGCUCUGGGCCUGACUCAGGCCCAUGUGACUCACCUGAACAGCUGUAUUCCCAUGGAAGAUGUGGAAAGCUCUGGAGCUGACUGUCCCCAGCCCUCAGCUCCGGGUCUGUUGGAUGCUCUCGCUCCCUGCCACCCGCCCAGGCAGUGUCACACGCAGCUGGGACUCACACACUGCUCAGUGAGCUGGACACAGAGCCAAUCCGAGCUCAGGCUGAGCAACUUGACUUCCAUCAAUGCUUCAGGUUUCAGUUUUUCCUCUUUCUCUCUUUUGCUGUCCUCCCCAGGGCUGUGUGCCUGUGAUUCUCAGUACCACACGCACCCCAACAAACCCAAGGUGUAUUAACGCAGGCAGAAGGUGAAAUCCAAGUGGAAGAAACAGUCCACAGAACAAAUGCCAUGGUAUUUGGAUUGCCCAAGGGCUAAGCCAGGUGUAUUUUUCCCUGGGGAGCACCUGUUGGUGGCAAUGCUGGCUGACUGUACAGCACCGGCAGCCCGGGUGCUGGGAGCUGCAAGCAAAAAGCCAUGGAUGUGAUUCCAGAGGGACAUGAACACGUGCUGCAGGAAAGAUCUGGAUUCUGACACUUCCAUGUAUCACCUCUUCACCGUGCUGGGAUUGCAGGCCAGUUACAGCUGUUGAAUGGCAGCAACUGCUUUUUCAUUCUGUUCUUCAGAAAUAGAAACAUUCUUGAAUAGAAA